Molecule: small nuclear RNA, 64 nt
Filed under: Microcebus murinus (gray mouse lemur)
Lineage: Eukaryota; Metazoa; Chordata; Mammalia; Primates; Cheirogaleidae
Description: U7 small nuclear RNA (ENSMICG00000031372.2)
Rfam family: U7 small nuclear RNA
About the family: Animal histone pre-mRNAs are spliced by a different mechanism than nuclear pre-mRNAs and self-splicing introns.
Source: RNAcentral
GAGUGUUACAGCUCUAUUAGAAUUUAUUUGUCUAGCAGUUUUCUGGUCCUCACCGUAAGACCCC